CUGUUAAGACUAAUAAUCUGUCAAGGACAGUAAUGCAUUCUUAUCGGUCGAACAAUGCCGAUCUGACGGAAUAAGGCGAAGAAAUGUUCCGGCUGAUAUCUAUUAGAUAAGAUCAUUGCCUGCCAGCUAUUUUGUCCAUGGACAAAUGACCAGUUGGUACCGACAUUCGAUAAAUCGAGGAGCGUUCCAUCUAACAAAAUUCCCUCUCGAUCCGGAUAACGAUGAAAUAAUUAGAAUACUAUAAUAAUUCUUCCGCGGAUACGGUUUUCUCUCGUUGGAGCAAUGUCACGGUGACUCGUUUUGGCAAACAAUCAUGAAAUUUUUCUGGCUCCACAAGUCCAGACACGGCAGUGUCGAUUUGGCGUCAGUUUCGGAGGUCCAGACAGAGACGGUUCACCAGAUUUACAGAAGACUCUCCAAUGGCCGCAAAGCUGGAGUUUUUGGCGAGAUGGAUUUCUCGUUAACAACGGUGCCAACAUUCCAUAAAAAUUCGGACACGGCGAAACGUCUCAAGGCGGCUAUCAUGAGGAAUGAAUUUUUGAGCAACUUUAGCGAGCCUAGAAUCGUCUCUCUCGUCUCGGCCAUGUAUCCUCAAGAUGUUGCUCCCGGGACGAGAAUUAUCACGGAGGGUGACAUCGGAUCCCAUCUUUACGUUUCGGAGGAGGGUGAAUUCGAAAUUUACGAGGGCACUCGGUAUCAAGGAAAAUUCGGGGCUGGCGUCGCUUUUGGAGAACUGGCCUUACUGUACAAUUCCAAAAGAUUGCGCUCGAUAGACGCCAAGACAAAAGGCAGAUUGUGGGUCUUGGAUAGGCCCGUUUUUAUAAACGUCAUGAUAAGAACUGCCCAAAAAUGCAUGGAGGACAACAGCAGGCUUCUUCGACGGAUUUCGGCCCUGAAGGCCCUGCCUGAGCACAUCCUGAAGAAAAUAUCCGACCUGAUGAACAUCGAAUUCUUCCCAGCUGAUUCUUACAUCCUGCGCCAGGGAGAGCCUGGCGAGAAAUUCUACAUAAUUAGUGGCGGCAGGGUGAAAAUCACCAAACAAACCGAGUACCUAGACGAGGCAGAAUUGACAAUCCUCGGUAAAGGGGAUUAUUUUGGGGAAAAGUCACUGUACAACGAAGAGGAAAACCUUCGCGAAGCGAACGCCAUCGCUUUGUCUCCUGGAGUGGAAUGUUUCACCAUAGACAGAACGUCGUUCCUGAAUUACCUGGGUGGGCUGGAAGUGAUCAGGAAUAAAAACUGGACGGAGGAAUAUGAAAAACGUAAACGUUCCCUGGAAGUUCACUGGAAUAAGGAAUUUUCAGAGCUGAAGCUUACAGAUUUGUACGUUCACGCAGUUUUAGGAGCAGGUGCGAUGGGGACGGUUGAACUUGUAGUGCCAAAAUCCUCCCCAAAAGUCAGUUUCGCUAGAAAGAAGAUAAAAAAAUGCGCGAUCACUGCCAUGGGUUGUCAGAGAAGCGUCUACAAUGAGAAGUACAUCAUGCAAGUCUGCGACUCUCCGUUUAUCUGCAAGCUGUACCAAACGUUCAAGGACAAUAAAUACGUGUAUUUCUUGAUGGAGGCUUGUUUGGGUGGCGAUUUAUACACGACUCUUCGAAGAAGUGGACGAUUUGAUAAUUCAACUGCAAAAUUUGCAAUCGGGUGCACUGUCGAAGCUUUGGAUCAUCUCCAUUCUCUGGAUAUCGUGUGUCGAGAUUUAAAACCGGAGAACAUCAUGGUCGAUGACAAGGGCUACCUGAAACUGACAGACUUUGGCUUCAGCAAAAGGAUAGGUCCCUAUAAGACGUGGACGUUUAUCGGGACUCCUGAGUACAUGGCUCCUGAAAUUGUCCUCAAUGAGGGAUACGACAGAGCCGUGGAUUAUUGGUCGUUGGGAGUUCUGGUCUACGAAUUACUUGUUGGGCGACCGCCCUUCCAAAGUAAGGACGCCAUGGUGACUUAUAACAAAAUUGUCAAAGGCAUGUCCACUGUCGAUAUCCCCAGUUUUGUUAAACAAAAGGGCGAGCAGCUUAUCCGGAAGCUUUUGCGAAAAAAUCCAGUCCAUAGAUUGGGUAACCUGGAGGAUGGAAUCGAGGGAAUUCGGAAUCACAAGUGGUUUGGUUCUUUCGAUUGGCCGGCUUUACGGGCCCUCUCGUUUCCGUCACCUCUUGUUCCAAAGGUGAACAGUCAUCUCGAUACGAGGAAUUUCGACAGAUUCCCUCCUGAUCGAGAAGUCCCACCGAAUGACUACUCGGACUGGGACGCGGAAUUUUGAAUGUUUUUAUCCCUACUUUUUGGAAUCGAUUACCAUUAGGAAGUACCAUCAAUCGGAGCUUUAUCGCGAGUCUUGAUUAUCAGCGUCGGGGGAAAAGACCUCCAAAAUCAAACUUCACCACCUCGGAGCAUCCGAUGGUCAGAGGAGACUUCAACAUUACCGACUCCAAGAAUCACACCGGCCUGUGAUAACAAAUCACUUUACGGCCGGCGUAACGAGUCGCUAAGUUAAUAAACAGGUAAAACCGAGUAAAACGCCCCCUCUUCCCCUUUCAUCCAGUGAAUAUUCCCUGCUCCAC
RNAcentral lists this unclassified non-coding RNA (2552 nucleotides) under Orussus abietinus. RNAcentral describes it as "cGMP-dependent protein kinase, isozyme 1, transcript variant X1". The record is from RNAcentral. Lineage: Eukaryota; Metazoa; Arthropoda; Insecta; Hymenoptera; Orussidae.